CCAGGAUUCUCCUAGUAACGGCGAGUGAACGGAGAUUAGCCCAUCACCGAAGCCUGCGUGUGUUUGCAUGCUAGGCAAUGUGGUGUUUAAGCUUGUACCUGGGAUCGUGUGCCUACCCGAAGUCUAAAUCCGAUUGUGGCUUUGGAUUCAUUCCAUAGCGGGUGAAAGUCCCGUGCGGGUAGGACUAUUGCAAUCUACACGAUCCUCAGAUGUGCAUGCUUUCGAGUCGGAUUGCUUGAGAAUGCAGUCCAAAGUGGGUGGUAAACUCCAUCCAAGGCUAAAUACUGGCACGAGUCCGAUAGUAGACAAGUACCGUGAGGGAAAGUUGAAAAGUACUCUGAAGAGAGAGUAAAUAGUACGUGAAGCCGAUUGCAGGGAAGCUGGUGGAGUCAAGCUUCGUGCUUGAGGGAUUGAUGCUGAGAGCAGGUGUGUCAUUUGUAUGCGAGUUUGGUCAACUUGGAAUAAGUUGGGCGUGUUCUGAAUGCGCUUCAAGUCAUUCUGGGUAGACUGUUUGUGGCCAUGCUCGCUUUACUACUCUCAGUAUUGUAUUCCUCGCUGCACAGGCCACAGUCGAUACGUGCAUGCGGUAUGAAGGUCUAACUGUGCUUCGGCGGGUGCAAGCUCUCCGUGUGCAGGAUGGCAGGUGCUGUCUUCAGGCCUCGUGUCUGUUGGUAGUUGUUGUGGUUUCGACCGGCUGGUCUUCAUACUGUAUUGUGCAUAUUGCCUAUGAAUGGCGCUGCUUCUUCGGAAGUAGUGCUGUGAAGAA
RNAcentral lists this ribosomal RNA (766 nucleotides) under Cichlidogyrus sclerosus. RNAcentral describes it as "partial 28S ribosomal RNA". It matches the Rfam family "Eukaryotic large subunit ribosomal RNA", at positions 69 to 723 of the family's 3401-position model. The record is from RNAcentral. Lineage: Eukaryota; Metazoa; Platyhelminthes; Monogenea; Dactylogyridea; Ancyrocephalidae.